Non-coding RNA from Cricetulus griseus (Chinese hamster), 4735 nucleotides. The record is from RefSeq and is a predicted model, not a curated record. Lineage: Eukaryota; Metazoa; Chordata; Mammalia; Rodentia; Cricetidae.
CAUUGGUCAAGCAGUUUUGAACCUAAUACAAGUUUCUGUGUAUUCAUUUGGGCCCAACUCAGGCGGGCAGCUGGCAUAAAGCACACACGUGGCAAUGGGGCUCAGGCGGCUUUUGGCAGAAAAAUUUAUUGUAACAGAGCUCCAUUAGCUUUCAAAGCACACACACAUCUGUCUCUGGGUUUUACCUGAAAACUGCUACAAACAGAAAUAGCAAAGCUAUAUUUAAGGAACGAUGUUUAUUUUUACAUUUUACUGCCAUUUAGGAAAUGGUAAUGAAUCUACUUUUAAACACAAUGUGUAAUUUUAAACUAACAUGAUAUACAAACCAUAGAGAAAUUGAAAGAAUGUACUUUGAAAGAUCUGAAAUGUUAGAAUAUCAUUAUGGCAUGAGGACAAUGGUAAGGUAGGCAGUGGCUCAUCUGGGGACAUAUUCACAGGGUUUGUUCUAAUUAUUAAUGUAAAAGGAGCUUGGUCACUUAAUUCCAUAAAGUGUGGACAUAAGUGCCACAGGCCGUUUGUCUGUUCCUCCCUCAUGUCACUCCAGGAACAGUGAUGUUUUGUAUUUUCCAUCUUUCAUGUUCGUAGAAAGUCACAACUUUUGUUUUUAGCUAAAAUCCUAUGAAUUUUUUUUUGUUUUUCUUUCUCCACUAUUUGCACAGGUGUUUAUCAUAGAAACCCAGCACUGGUAACUUUUUUUCUCAGUGUAGAAGAGGAGUGGGAAAAGCUAAGCUCACAGGACAUUGGGGCUCAUAAGUAGGUCAACAUGGAAGAGGUAGAGAGUACAUAGUUACUGGGCCAAGGUUUCUAGGCAGUGUGUGAAAUACCCUUAAUCCAUGCCCCUCAUUCCAUAGAGACAGGAGGGCACAUCCUGCCACUGUCUAGGAAGGGAAGGCACUGAGCUGAAACUGCACUAGGCAGAGGGCGUCUGACCAAAAUAUCUGGGAAUAGACGAGCAGUGUCUCACUUGUGUCAUUUUUUUUCACCCCAAGGAAUUUUUUAUCUCUUCAUGCAAGUUUUAUCUUCUCAAAUAAACACAUCUAAAUUCAAACUGAGCAUUAGGCAAAAAUCAUAGUUAUCAUGUGUAUUGAUUUCUCUAUUGUUCAUUUUCCUAACAACUUAGGCUCUAAUUACUGUUGCACUUUCUUUUGCAACAACUAUUAUUUCCCCCUUUGUUUUCAUUCCAAAUAGUACCAUUCUGCUGCAUGUCCUUGUCCAGUUGGUGUACAGUAUCUGUACUUUCAGUGCGUCAUUCUCGGACUCACAAUCACUCAGAUAAGUGUUUAAUCCUCACCUCUUUCUCCAUUCAAAUUUUUGUUACAAAUCCCACUCCUUGGUCCCUUUAUUCCAGAUGCUCCAGUUGCAUGUUUUCUACAAAAUUCUGAACUCUAUUGUGCUCAGUUCUUUCAAGAGAGCCCUUAGACAUUCACUUCUAAGAGAGUUCUUAAAUUUGUAAACAAUAUGUCCCAGAAGAAGUCUAAGCAAAUUAUAAGAGGUGUCAUUAGCAAUUCAAGAUUUGAGAAGAAGAGCUUGCUGUAUCUUAUAAACAGAUGGAAAGACAAAAGCACAGCAAAAUGAUUUAGGUUAGCUGCAUAAAAACCCAAGGUCUGUGUGCUGUUGAGAAAAUACAUUGAGAAGCGCUAGAUUGGUGUGAGUGGUCUUUUCUUAACUGAAAAAGCAGACACGUCAUGUGAAAUGCUUCAAGACAUCUGUUGCAACUAACUGUGUUCUCUUAAAAAAGGAAAGCACUUAAACCAAAUGUUUGUAGGAUGCCUGGAACCAAUAAGUGUAGUUCCUGGUUCCUAUUCCCACAUGAAUGAAAACAGGUUCUCAGACACAUGGUUAUCUCAUAAUGCACGCUCAUUUCAGUCCCUGCACUGACACACACUUCACGGAAAGAAAUGUGAUAGAGACAUAACAUGCUCAGGGUAAUAAGGCACACUGUGGCUACAAGGAGAUACUGAGUUACAGAUAGACAGCAAAGCCCUAAGAUCUCUGAUUUCUGUCCUUGUAAUCCCCAGAGGUCAGAGUACCUGCAUGUUUAUUGUCACUUAAUAAAGUGACAAAAUGCAUCCUUGUUUUAUUUUUCAUCCUCCAUGAGAAUAUGCUUGACUUUCUAGUUUAGCUCUUCGUUGUUUCUUUUUAUUAUUUUUUAUUAAGUCCAGAUUCUGCGAGUGGGUGGCAGAGAGGUAUAGAAGUGGCCUGAAGAAAAGACCAAGAGGGCUUCAGGAGACAGAUAAGGAUGUUUGCAGAUCAGAAAAUCACCCAUGAGCUCUAUUUCAGGGCGAUUCUACCAACUCACUACUUUGGCUUUAAACCUUCUGACCUUUGCUUUAUGAGUGGAUCUUAGUACUCAGCUCACUCAGAAAAUGUUCAUUGCAAUGAGUCGUGGGUCUGGUUCAAGUCCUCUGGCACACCAUCAUCACUGGACCCGCAUCAAAACUCCUGAUAUUUUUCUGUUGCCCUGAGUCAUGGAGAUCCUUCAGUUAUCUACACAGGACCGGUCCCUUCAUGCACUUCAGCAGGAGAUAGAUGAGGUUUUAGGGAACUCUUCUGAUUUAAAAGUGGGGACAAAAGCAUUGGUGUGUUGCUGCAAUUGAGUGAUAAAACAUGUAAAGAACAGUCCAGAACCUGGUGCAAGGCAGCUUGUUGAAUACAAUAUGAAUAUCUAAAGAAAGGGGAGACCAUGUACAUCUGAUACAGAAAAUGAAGGAAAUGGAAGUGUUAUGUUAAUCUGGAAAUUUUUCCAAGAUACAAAGCACAUGAGAGAGCAGUUUCUAAGUAUUAUUUUAAGAAAAGAUGUAGACCUAUUUUCACGCUCAUCUACGAUAGCUCUAAAAGACACACAGCUCAAUUCCAAGAUGCAAGAUGAAACACUCAAGCUAUCAUCAGUUUGCACUGUACAAUUCAAAAUUUUUAUUACCUACACUUUAUUUCCAAAGCAGUGAAAAAGCACUGAGGCAAACAUUGUUCAUUUUACACAAAUUCGAAAUUCCUCCAUGCGUUAGCUUAGUGAUCAAAAUAAAUAUUGAGCAUGUCCUGAGAAUGGACAAUGCAAGCAUAUUAUGCCAAUGAUUCUCAAUGGGUUGCAAAUUAUAUUGGCUGGCUGACUAAAGCAAUCACAUUAGGAUUAUAAUUAACAAAUUGCUGUUUCAGAUCAUUAUUUAAAGAUAAAACACACAAACCAGUGUCGUCGUUUGGCUAUAGAAGUAUUUAUGGCAUGACACUGAUAUAUAAUCCGUGGCCUGGCUAUAUUUGAAAAGUAACUUUCACGUGACAUGUUUAGGUUUAUACUUCUUUCUUAGGGUACAUAUGUCAUCAAAAGCAUCAAAAACUGGAGCCAGGUGUAGUGCCCCAUGCCUGUAAUUUCAACAUUAGGGAAACGGAUACAGGAGGAUCAGAAAAUCAAGGCAAAAUGAACAUGGAAUUGCAAGUAUCUCUGUUGCAGCAUAUGAAUGGAGCCUCUGGUAAAAUAACGUCCUGAAAAACAUUUCUGCCCAAGUCUAUCCGCACUUAGUGAUUCUGGAUACUGUGGGAUUUUAUGCAGGAGAAGAAAAUCUUUGGAUACCAUCAAAAUCGAUCAAGAUUCGAGUUGAAAAGACAACCCCCUCAACAAGGACAACUGACAGCCCAGUGCACAAGCCAGGGAAUGAUGCUCCAGCCUUUAGAGUGAGUCUUCAUAUUUUAAUCAAGAUGAUGCCUGACACACAUUCCAGAGGAUAACAUAACCAAGGAAAUCCAUCCAGGUUGUACUUGGACAUUUGCCUCUGAAGUCCUUCCCAAUCCUAUUAGACUGACAGUCAACACUAACCAUCACAGGUCUCCAUCUUACUUUUUGAGACACUGAACCCUGAGAUUCCUGAUUCUUCUAGACUGUAUGACCAGCAGACUCCAGGGAUCUUCCUAUCUCUGCUUCCCCAAUGCUGGGAUUAAAGCAGUUCCUGGGAGUCAAACCCACGCCUAUGCAUAAGCAAGCAUUCUACUACUGAACUGCAUCCAAAUCCCUAAGUGGACUCUUGACAAGAACGUCCCUGAACCUUGAGGUUUCAUGCCUUGCUAGUAACCAACAGCUCUCUAAUUGGAUUCAAGAGAAAUCAUGCUUGGGCUGACUGCUUUGGACAACCAAUUGAUUUUCUCUUCCCUUGGGAGAACCAUCUCACCUACUCCAAGAAGAAUACAGGAGAAUGAGUGAGGGGGGUAAAAUAACAAUAUGGACAUCUGAAAAAGCCACAAGGAACCAUACUAUAAUUUACUAAAAUAACUCAUAAUGCAUGUAGUUCAUUGUAUAAAUACACAUAUAUUUUUAAUGAAUUUUUCUCAUCUCUUCUGAUCCAAAGACCACCUAACCCCUAUACUAGACAUGAAAAGCUCUCCUUUAAGUUGUUCAGGAAUAUCUAAGAGACUUUGCAAACCAUACAGCCUAUUGAUGCUGCCCUUGGUUACCCACCACCCAGAAAUGGGAGAGGUGCAGCAUCUGGUUCAGCUCUCAAGAGAUCACACCAAUUGUUGCACAGUAGAGUGGAACCCAGAGAGACCAGCUGAAGGUCACCACAGCAGUCCAAAAGGAAAGCCAUAGUGCCAGAUUUCCAUCAGGAAAUGUGCACAAAUCCGACUUCUUUUGAAAUUUGAAGUACAUGAGAAGGACAAAGAACAGACACCCUUAAAGGUGACCCUUAGAAGGAGUCACCUGAUAAUAUGACGUUAUGUAUAAAAUAAAUCGUUUUGGUGUUUGACAUAA